AUUGAACGCUGGCGGCAUGCCUUACACAUGCAAGUCGUACGGCAGCACGGGUGCUUGCACCUGGUGGCGAGUGGCGAACGGGUGAGUAAUACAUCGGAACAUGUCCUGUAGUGGGGGAUAGCCCGGCGAAAGCCGGAUUAAUACCGCAUACGAUCUACGGAUGAAAGCGGGGGACCUUCGGGCCUCGCGCUAUAGGGUUGGCCGAUGGCUGAUUAGCUAGUUGGUGGGGUAAAGGCCUACCAAGGCGACGAUCAGUAGCUGGUCUGAGAGGACGACCAGCCACACUGGGACUGAGACACGGCCCAGACUCCUACGGGAGGCAGCAGUGGGGAAUUUUGGACAAUGGGCGAAAGCCUGAUCCAGCAAUGCCGCGUGUGUGAAGAAGGCCUUCGGGUUGUAAAGCACUUUUGUCCGGAAAGAAAUCCUUGGCCCUAAUACGGUCGGGGGAUGACGGUACCGGAAGAAUAAGCACCGGCUAACUACGUG
Molecule: ribosomal RNA, 486 nt
Filed under: uncultured bacterium
Lineage: Bacteria
Description: partial 16S ribosomal RNA
Rfam family: Bacterial small subunit ribosomal RNA
Source: RNAcentral